CAAAUUUGAACAUCACUGAUGUUCAUCGGAUUUACAGAGUGACGACAAACCCCGUCAGCAUGUUAGAUAAAGGAUUUAAGUUAUAUGCUGCAUCAUAUAUACACAACUACGAAGAUUAAGCUUCUGGAUUCAUCGCCAGUGCUCCUGUGUGGCAGGUGCUGUUAUGUGCAAUCACACAGUGGCACUGCUCUUCCAAACAGCACACUACUCACAACUCAGAGUGCCGGUUGUCCCCUGUGCAUAGCUGCACCGAAUCUGAACAGCAAUGGCACAAGCCACGGACAGUGGGUGUGAAGCCAGGACCUAUCAACUCUAUGAUCUUCACUAAGCCGGUACCAAAUAGGAUGGCCCAGACUGGAGUACGGAGUGGAUUCUACAGAGGCAUUGUGGGUCCAUUACCAGAUCCCUGACCUGACAAGCCCCUUGUGGAAAGUGCCUUUGGGCUGGUGCAGGAGGGCAGUGUUCUGUCAUGUCAGCAGCCGGUUUUGACAACCCGGUACAUCACACUACACCGUGAUGCACCACCAACACCGCACUUGCCUCUGAGAGGGUAUGACAUCAAGGAAACCCUGCUCGCUCAGACAGCCUGUGAUAUUUUCUCAAACCGCUGCGCUGAACAAGUUUCCAAAGAACAUGCUGUGUGACACAAUAAAUAUCCUUUAACCUGUUAACCUGUGGCUUCUGGAAGAAACUCGGGUGAGUCAGUCACUGCAAACACAUUUGUAUCAUCAAGUGUUUGUCAAAUGAAAAUGAUAUGUUUUUCUACACUUAGGAUAAUUUUCUAUGUUGCAGUGCAGUAAAGUGCAUGUUUCUU
This is a long non-coding RNA of Oreochromis aureus, 814 nucleotides long. The record is from Ensembl. Lineage: Eukaryota; Metazoa; Chordata; Actinopteri; Cichliformes; Cichlidae.